GCGCAGCAGGCGCGAAAACUCCGCAAUGCGCGAAAGCGUGACGGGGUCACCCCGAGUGCCGUCCGCUGAGGAUGGCUUUUGCCUGGUCUAACCAGCCGGGUGAAUAAGGGGAGGGCAAGUCUGGUGUCAGCCGCCGCGGUAAUACCAGCUCCCCGAGUGGUUGGGACGAUUAUUGGGUCUGAAGCGUCCGUAGCCGGCCGGAAAAGUUCCCCGUUAAAUCUGGCGAUCCAAUCGUUGGGCUGCGGGGAAUACUCUUCGGCUUGGGGGCGAGGGAGGUCGGCGGUAGUCCCGGGGUAGGGGCGAAAUCCUAUAAUCCCGGGAAGACCACCAGUGGCGUAGGCGGUCGGCUAGCACGCGCUCGACAGUGAGGGACGAAAGCUGGGGUAGCGAACCGGAUUAGAUACCCGCGUAGUCC
This 415-nucleotide ribosomal RNA is filed under the name uncultured archaeon. Its description in RNAcentral is "partial 16S ribosomal RNA". It matches the Rfam family "Archaeal small subunit ribosomal RNA", at positions 330 to 747 of the family's 1478-position model. The record is from RNAcentral.